CGGGAUAACCCGGAGAAAUCCGGCCUAAUACCGCAUGUGGCCGAGGGGAGGCAUCUUCUUUCGGCCAAAGGAGGCGACUCCGGAGACGGAUGGGCAUGCGUGACAUUAGCUUGUUGGCGGGGUAACGGCCCACCAAGGCGACGAUGUCUAGGGGUUCUGAGAGGAAGGUCCCCCACACUGGUGCUGAGACACGGACCAGACUCCUACGGGAGGCAGCAGUGAGGAAUAUUGGUCAAUGGGCGAGAGCCUGAACCAGCCAAGUCGCGUGAAGGAUGACGGCCCUACGGGUUGUAAACUUCUUUUGUCAGGGAGCAAUUGAGUCCACGUGUGGGCUUAGCGAGAGUACCUGAAGAAAAAGCAUCGGCUAACUCCGUGCCAGCAGCCGCGGUAAUACGGAGGAUGCGAGCGUUACCCGGAUUUAUUGGGUUUAAAGGGUGCGUAGGCGGAAUAUCAAGUCAGCGGUAAAAAUUCGGGGCUCAACCCCGUCGUGCCGUUGAAACUGAUGUUCUUGAGUGGGCGAGAAGUAUGCGGAAUGCGUGGUGUAGCGGUGAAAUGCAUAGAUAUCACGCAGAACUCCGAUUGCGAAGGCAGCAUACCGGCGCCCAACUGACGCUGAAGCACGAAAGCGUGGGUAUCGAACAGGAUUAGAUACCCUGGUAGUCCACGCAGUAAACGAUGAA
Molecule: ribosomal RNA, 680 nt
Filed under: uncultured bacterium
Lineage: Bacteria
Description: bacterial SSU rRNA
Rfam family: Bacterial small subunit ribosomal RNA
Source: RNAcentral